GCUUGAAGGAAUUAUCAGCGAAGAAAACAUGAGAGCGAUUAGAUGGUCAUUGGGACUGUAUAUGAAAUAUUGGGAAAAGUCUAGGUUAGCAUUCCAACUUAGAAUGCAGCCCAUGCCUUCUCUUUCAACCCAACAUCAUGCAUGUGCAUGAAAAACUUGCUGUCGAAGAGGUUGUGAAAGCCACAGUGCUACAACUUGAGCAAGGACAAGGGCCCCCUACCAUUUGCCCCAACUAGACCUAGUCACCACCAAUAAGUUUUCUUACUCAAACCUUUUAUUUAGCCAUCAUAUCCUUUUAGAGGGUGAGAUAACAAAUAGAUAAGACAGAAACUUCCUCUGUUUCAAAUACAAAAUAAGAAAAUAGUAGAA
This 369-nucleotide long non-coding RNA is filed under the name Elaeis guineensis (African oil palm). Its description in RNAcentral is "long non-coding RNA (EGUI_LNC049610)". Lineage: Eukaryota; Viridiplantae; Streptophyta; Magnoliopsida; Arecales; Arecaceae. The record is from RNAcentral.